This is a long non-coding RNA of Brassica napus (rape), 3066 nucleotides long. RefSeq lists it as uncharacterized. The transcript has 2 exons. The record is from RefSeq and is a predicted model, not a curated record. Lineage: Eukaryota; Viridiplantae; Streptophyta; Magnoliopsida; Brassicales; Brassicaceae.
GAAACUUAAUCACCAAAUAUGUCUAUAAGAUAAUUUCAAUCUGCAUGAUAUCGCAGCGACCAACAAUUAUACUGGUCGAAAAAUGACCACCAACAUGAAUAACAACAAUACGUCACAUCAUUAAUUAUAUUACCACAAAUGAGAAUUGUUUGAAAACAAGGAUUGCGAUAUCAUGCAGAUUGAAAUUAUCUUAUAGUCAUAUUUGGAAACAUGAAUAACAGUAUAAAUGAGAAUUGUUUGAAAACAUGGAUUGCGUAUAAAAAAGUAUAAUGUCAUUUUUGUAAUUUUAUUAAUAUAAUUACAUUCAUUGUCUUUCUAUAUAUCACUCAAUUUAACAAUUUCAUUAAUUAUAUUACAUUAACAAUACGUCAUAUCAUUAAUUUUAUUACCAUAAUAAUAAUAGUGCAAAUUUUUAUUUAUUAGUUAAUCAACAUUAACUUUGUGCCAUUUAUAAAAUCAAAAAUGUAAAAUAAUUGAGUUUUGCCUAUGGUUAAAUGUUCGGUUUAGUUUGUUUUACUAUAACUUUUUUUUUAGUUUCAAUCGGUGGAAAACUAUGUAGCUAAAAACAUAAUUCAAAGACAUGUUUUAUGAAUAAAAUAAUAAAUUAAAUCAAAAUAAUAAAAAUGUAUUACAUUUAUUAUCAUUUAAUUUUUCACUAUAUAUUCUAUUUCACUUAAUUUAGCCAAACACAUAGAAAUAGUCUUUUUUAUUAGUUUAUAAAAUCAGUUAUGAACAUUGUCUAUCCAUUCAGGUACAGAUUGUUCUUUUCAGGUAUCGGUUUUUUUAAAUUAGGCUCGGCUUGAGUAUUAUAAAUUUAUGUGUGGGGUUUGAGUUGAGUCCUUCUGGGUCUAGAUGAGUUCCGUUAUGAUGUAUAGGAACCCAAAAAUAUCUAAAUAACAAAUGUAUUUGAAACGGGUUCGGAUAUUUGUACCAAAAAUAACCAUAUUACCUAAUUCGGUCCAGAUUUUUUGAAUACAAUUAACUAUAUUACGACCCAUCUAAAAUAUAUAACACUAAUUAUGAAAAAAAUAUCAAUGUAUAUAUAAAAAUGCAAGAAUCAAUACCCGCGCGGGUGCACGGAUCAAUCUCUGGUUGUUAUUGAAGUAUUUCUAGGAAAAUACUCUUUUAGGAAUCUUGGUAAUGCUGAUGCGUUAACGCAUAUAUAGACAUCGUUACAUAGUUAUAACCACCAUAUAUUGCUACCAUAUAUGAAGAAGAAGUAUAUAUAGAGUCACCAUACGUGUUCAUAGAUAAUGGUAAUUUCAGGACAAAUUGAGAGUCCAAGAUAUAUGAAUAGUUGCGCAAUAUGAAGUUAGUUUUUUUUUGUGGUUUUUUAUAUAUCGUGAAGUUAGUUACACGUAAACACCGCGAAUUUGGACAUGAUUGUUAGAAAUAUUCGUACCAGCUUAUUGUGUGGUUGAUCUGGAAUCAUGAUCAUUUUUCAGAUAACCUAACUAGCAUUAUUCUAUCUACUCGUUACAAUAGAACGCAAAGAUUGAUACGUUACUUUUUUGUUGUUUUCUAGAGAAGUGAAAAGGAGAGCGCGCACACGUUUUUCUUGUUGUUGGUUCCAAAUUCUAACUAACAAAUUACCCCCACAUCAUCCAAAGGGACAUUGACGAAUUCAUGAGCACCAUACGCUUUGGUUUCUCAUUCUCGUCUAAGUCGUCUUCUUGUCUCAUGCAACACUACUUUCCAAUAUUUAGGCCAAUAGUUUCUGUAGAUAGAAGAAACAAAUCACUUAUACGGGACCACCUGCAAUUCUAGUGUACAUUCAUUUAUUGGUGAAAUGAAAGCUUGUUGUGAUGGAAGAUGAUAGCUUGUUGUGCGCAAGAAACUUAGUAUUUACUUGUGAAAUAGAGGCUUUGGCAGCUCGACGUUUAUAAUUACUGAGAAGUCAAAAUAUACUCCAUGCAACUGAAUUGCUAAUUGUAUGUAUAUAUAUAUAUAUAUAUGUAUACUAGCAAGACGAGGUUAUUUGCAAUAUGUAUUGCUGCAGAACUCCUUAGACAUGCAAUGAUGCAAAAUAAAACCUUGACCUACAGUGAGUACAUUUUAUUUAUGAAUAAAAAGUGGAUGAACUUUUUACUGUAUGUACCAUGUGUUUUGCAAUUUUGAUUCGGUGGUCGCCUUAUCUUUUGCCUUUGGUCCCUUCCUCCCCCUCCUUUAGUUUUAUUAUUGCGUGUCUCCUUAAUGCGAUGAUAUAUAUUAUCUUUGAAUACGAAUCCAUUAAAAUGUUUUCCUUGACUCAGUGUUAUCAAGUUCAAGCAUCCGAUCCACAAGUUCCGAUUUUGGAUCCAUGUAAAUAUGAAAUGAUCCAAAUUUGAAACUCCUCAUCUCAUACAAAGAUUUAGGCCUAGACAUUCAGGUAUCCUUUUGGGUAUUUUGGGUUCCGGUAUUUCAGUAGAGGAGUUUAGAACCCAUUCAGAUAUUCUUACAUAUCUCGACUAUUUUUAGUUCGGGUUCGGGUAUAACCAAAAACCCGAACUUUGUGAUGAACUUUAAAAAGAACAAGAUCAGGCUCGAUCUUCUCUGUUGAUCUGAGUUUCAGUUGAAGUAAUUGAUUGUCAUUCUUUAGCUACUUUCUGCAAAUUUAUAUAUUUGGAAGGAGGAAUUUGAAUUGUUUCUCGUAUUGCUCCAACUCCAACGAAUCACGUAAUCAUUCUGAUUAUCACGUUACGAGUUAAGCUGUCAUGUGAUCUUGGGGAUCCAUUUUCCCAUUGUAUGAAGGGAUUUUCAACUUGAUAUUCGGAAUGAGAACAUUGGUUAUGUGGUACAGACCGGAAUCUUGAACUUAACUGUACCUGAAGCACAUGACCCGACCGACCCACUUAUAAACCAAACUAGGUUAUAACCCGCGUUAAAACGCGUUUAUGUAUUUUUCUUACAAAACACAAUAAAAACUAUUACUGUUAUGAAUAUUAUGGUGAUGCCAUUAUGGCAAGUCUUAAAUAUACUUGUUCUCCAAGUUUUACUUGUUCUCCAAGUGGCUUUGUCCACAAGCUAUUGUAAUCCUAUAUAAAGGACUCAUUACUCAUGGAAUAAGACACACCAAUUUCCUCUCUU